GAUGAACGCUGGCGGCGUGCCUAAUACAUGCAAGUCGAGCGAACAGACGAGGAGCUUGCUCCUCUGACGUUAGCGGCGGACGGGUGAGUAACACGUGGAUAACCUACCUAUAAGACUGGGAUAACUUCGGGAAACCGGAGCUAAUACCGGAUAAUAUAUUGAACCGCAUGGUUCAAUAGUGAAAGACGGUUUUGCUGUCACUUAUAGAUGGAUCCGCGCCGCAUUAGCUAGUUGGUAAGGUAACGGCUUACCAAGGCAACGAUGCCUAGCCGGCCUGAGAGGGUGAUCGGCCACACUGGAACUGAGACACGGUCCAGACUCCUACGGGAGGCAGCAGUAGGGAAUCUUCCGCAAUGGGCGAAAGCCUGACGGAGCAACGCCGCGUGAGUGAUGAAGGUCUUCGGAUCGUAAAACUCUGUUAUUAGGGAAGAACAAAUGUGUAAGUAACUAUGCACGUCUUGACGGUACCUAAUCAGAAAGCCACGGCUAACUACGUG
This 497-nucleotide ribosomal RNA is filed under the name uncultured bacterium. Its description in RNAcentral is "partial 16S ribosomal RNA". It matches the Rfam family "Bacterial small subunit ribosomal RNA", at positions 28 to 507 of the family's 1533-position model. The record is from RNAcentral.